RNAcentral lists this ribosomal RNA (408 nucleotides) under uncultured microorganism. Its description in RNAcentral is "bacterial SSU rRNA". It matches the Rfam family "Bacterial small subunit ribosomal RNA", at positions 509 to 917 of the family's 1533-position model. The record is from RNAcentral.
CAGCCGCCGCGGUAAUACGUAGGGUGCAAGCGUUAAUCGGAAUUACUGGGCGUAAAGCGUGCGCAGGCGGUUCGGAAAGAAAGAUGUGAAAUCCCAGAGCUUAACUUUGGAACUGCAUUUUUAACUACCGGGCUAGAGUGUGUCAGAGGGAGGUGGAAUUCCGCGUGUAGCAGUGAAAUGCGUAGAUAUGCGGAGGAACACCGAUGGCGAAGGCAGCCUCCUGGGAUAACACUGGCGCUCAUGCACGAAAGCGUGGGGAGCAAACAGGAUUAGAUACCCUGGUAGUCCACGCCCUAAACGAUGUCAACUAGCUGUUGGGGCCUUCGGGCCUUGGUAGCGCAGCUAACGCGUGAAGUUGACCGCCUGGGGAGUACGGUCGCAAGAUUAAAACUUAAAGGAAUUGGCGGG